AAACUCCGCAAUGCGCGAAAGCGUGACGGGGGAACCCCAAGUGCCGUUGGACUUUUCGUUCGACGGCUUUUAUGGAGUCUAGGAAGCUCCAGGAAUAAGGGCUGGGUAAGUCGGGUGCCAGCCGCCGCGGUAAUACCCGCAGCCCAAGUGGUGGUCGCGAUUAUUGGGCCUAAAGCGCUCGUAGCCGGGUUGGCAAGUCCCUUGUGAAAUCGGGCGGCUUAACCGUUCGGCUUGCAAGGGAUACUGCCAGUCUUGAGGCCGGGAGACGUCGAGGGUACUCUGAGGGUAGCGGUGAAAUGCUCUAAUCCUCGGGGGACCACCAGUGGCGAAGGCGCUUGACGAGAACGGACCUGACGGUGAGGGGCGAAGGCUAGGGGAGCGAACGGG
Molecule: ribosomal RNA, 387 nt
Filed under: uncultured archaeon
Lineage: Archaea
Description: bacterial SSU rRNA
Rfam family: Archaeal small subunit ribosomal RNA
Source: RNAcentral